This 500-nucleotide ribosomal RNA is filed under the name uncultured Halorhabdus sp. RNAcentral describes it as "bacterial SSU rRNA". It matches the Rfam family "Archaeal small subunit ribosomal RNA", at positions 1 to 499 of the family's 1478-position model. Lineage: Archaea; Methanobacteriati; Methanobacteriota; Halobacteria; Halobacteriales; Haloarculaceae. The record is from RNAcentral.
UCCGGUUGAUCCUGCCGGAGGCCAUUGCUAUCGGCAUCGGCUUCAGCCAUGCUAGUCGCACGGGUUAGACCCGUGGCAGAUAGCUCAGUAACACGUGGCCAAACUGCCCUGUGGACAGGGAUAACCUCGGGAAACUGAGGCUAAUCCCCGAUACAGCUCCCAGCCUGGAGUGGCGGGAGCUGGAAACGCUCCGGCGCCAUAGGAUGUGGCUGCGGCCGAUUAGCUAGACGGUGGGGUAACGGCCCACCGUGCCCGUAAUCGGUACGGGGCAUGAGAGUGCGAGCCCGGAGGCGGUAUCUGAGACAAGAUACCGGGCCCUACGGGGCCGCAGCAGGCGCGAAACCUUUACCCUGCGCGAGAGCGCGAUAUGGGGACCCCAAGUGCGAGGGCUUAUAGUCCCUCGCUGUUUCUGAACUGUAGGGAGGUUCAGAAAGAAAAGGCCUGGUCAAGACCGGUGCCAGCCGCCCGCGGUAAUACCGGCAGCCCGAGUAAUGCCCGAU